UACGAAGGGGGCUAGCGUUGUUCGGAUUUACUGGGCGUAAAGCGCACGUAGGCGGAUCGUUAAGUCAGGGGUGAAAGCCCGGAGCUCAACUCCGGAACUGCCAUUGAAACUGUUUAGCUUGAGGACGAGAGAGGUGAGUGGAAUUCCCAGUGUAGAGGGGAAAUGCGUAGAUAUUGGGAAGAACACCGGUGGCGAAGGCGGCUCACUGGCUCGUAUCUGACGCUCAGGCGCGAUAGCGUGGGGAUCAAACAGG
This 253-nucleotide ribosomal RNA is filed under the name uncultured bacterium. RNAcentral's name for it is "partial 16S ribosomal RNA". It matches the Rfam family "Bacterial small subunit ribosomal RNA", at positions 524 to 776 of the family's 1533-position model. The record is from RNAcentral.